GUGCUGCCAGGCUCCCUUUCCCCGGCUGCCUGAGAAACCUUCCCCCGCCUCUCCGCGCUAUAAACGGGGCGGGCCGGGCCCGCCAGCCCGGCUGCGGCCACGGCCGGCCCGCUCACCCCGCCUCCCUGAGGCGCGGCCUGGCCCGGCCUGCUGUGGCGGCGGCACCGGCACCUCGGCCGGGCGGCUUUCAUGGCUUUCAUCCGCAGGCGGCGGCUGGAGCGGGAGCUGUACUCCAAGGAGAGGUUUUCACUACUUCUUCUUAACCUGGAAGAAUACUAUUUUGAACAGCACACAGCUAAUCAUAUUAUAAAUAAAGGUCACAAAGAUGAAAGAAAAUUCAGAGGCUCUCUAAAAAUCUGUUCAAAGUCAAUUAUUUUUGAACCAGAUGACAACAUCCAACCCAUUAUCAAGAUACCACUGAGAGACUGCAUUAGUAUAAAAGCCCCAGAAGAUAAUGAAGCAAAUAACCCUUUCACACGGGAUACAUCUGGAGGGAUUUCGGUUCUAUGUAGCCAGGUUUUUCUCAUUAAAGAAAGGAAUGUUAUUGCACCCUAUAAAACAAUAAGAGGCAGAACAGAACACUUAUUCCAACUGGAUGUUGCUGGGAAAGUAGGAGAUGUUGUGCAAACUCUACAUCAGCUUUACAGGGCUUCUUGUCUAGAUAAGAUGGGAGAUCAAGCUGCCAUGAUAACUGCUAUAUUGCAGUCGCGCUUGGCUAGAACUUCAUUUGAUAAAAACAGAUUUCAAAGCAUUUCUGAAACGCUGCAUAUGGAAUGUAAAGCAGAAAUGGUGACGCCACUGGUGACUAAUCCAGGGCAUGUGUGCGUUACUGAUGCUAACUUGUACUUCCAGCCUCUUAAUGGAUAUCCUAAACCAGUAGUACAAAUAACACUGCAAAAUGUGCGUCGCAUCUAUAAAAGAAGACAUGGGCUAAUGCCACUGGGCCUCGAAGUAUUUUGCACAGAAAACGAUUUAUGUUCUGACAUCUACUUGAAAUUCUACAACUAUCAAGAUCGAGAUGAGGUCUAUUUCCUUAUUGCAACAUAUAUAGAAAAUCAUAUUGCGGAGCAUACAGCUGAAAGUUAUAUGUUGCAAUGGCAGCGAGGACAUAUAUCAAAUUACCAGUACCUUCUUCAUCUCAACAAUCUGGCUGAUAGAAGCUGCAACGAUCUCUCCCAGUAUCCUGUAUUUCCUUGGAUCAUAGCAGACUACUCUAGUUCAGUAUUAGAUCUGACAAAGCCUGAAACAUUUCGUGACCUUAGUAAGCCAGUUGGUGCCCUGAAUAAGGAAAGGCUGGAUAGGCUACUGACACGUUAUCAGGAAAUGCCAGAGCCUAAGUUCAUGUAUGGAAGCCAUUAUUCAUCUCCGGGUUAUGUUUUGUUUUAUCUCGUUAGAGUUGCUCCAGAAUACAUGCUCUGCCUGCAAAAUGGAAAGUUUGAUCACGCUGACAGAAUGUUCAAUAGUAUUGCAGAAACCUGGAAAAACUGUUUGGAUGGUGCGACAGAUUUCAAAGAGUUGAUUCCGGAAUUUUAUGAAAAUGAUCCUAGUUUUCUAGUAAACAGUUUGAAACUGGACUUAGGAAAAAGGCAGGGUGGAAAGAUAGUUGAAGAUGUAGAGCUUCCACCUUGGGCAUCAGGUCCUGAUGACUUCCUUCAGAAGAGCCAAGAGGCUUUAGAAAGUCAGUAUGUAUCAGAACAUCUUCAUGAAUGGAUUGACAUAAUAUUUGGCUACAAGCAGAAAGGAAGUGAAGCAGUUGCAGCUCACAAUGUGUUUCACCCAUUAACUUAUGAAGGAGGAGUGGAUUUAAACAGUAUUAUGGACCCCAAUGAAAAAGUAGCUCUCCUGACACAAAUCUUGGAGUUUGGACAGACGCCAAAGCAGUUGUUUACAACCCCUCAUCCUCAAAGGAUCGUACCAAGGCUGAAAAGCUUGUCUCGAACAUCGAGUCACAGCAUUUCCUUAGCUGAGUCUCCAGUUUCUCCAAAUGAAGAAUCAUUUGAAGAUUUGACAGAAGAAAGUAUAACACUUGCCUGGAACAAUAUUGCCAAAUUAAAAUUAGAUAAGCAAUAUAAAAUUCACAAAGAGGCAAUUACUGGAAUAGCAGUCCCUUGGAAUGGGUCUUCUGUUUUCACUACAUCCCAAGAUUCAACUUUGAAGAUGUUUUCCAAAGAAUCAAAAACUAUCCAGAGAAGUGUGUCCUUUUCAAACAUGGCUUUGUCGUCUUGUCUAAUCUUACCAGGAGAUACCACUGUCAUAAGUUCUUCAUGGGACAAUCAUAUAUAUUUUUAUUCAGUUGCAUUUGGAAGACAGCAAGACAUCCUAAUGGGACAUGAUGAUGCAGUCAGUAAGAUCUGUUGGCGUGAUGGGCGUUUAUAUUCAGCAUCCUGGGAUUCCACUGUGAAGGUGUGGCACUGUGUUCCUGGAGAGACUUUGAGCAAUAAAAAGCACCACUUUGAACUGCUUGCAGAGUUGGAGCAUGAUGUUAGUGUAAAUACAAUCGACCUUAAUGCUGCAAAUACCAUACUGGCAUCUGGAACCAAAGAUGGUACCAUUAGUGUUUGGGAUGUUACUACAGCAACAGUGUUACACCAGUUGCCAUGUCAUUCUGGGACUGUAUUUGAUGCUGCUUUUAGUCCUGACAGCAGACAUCUACUCAGCACAGGAGAGGACUGUUGUUUUAAAGUAAUAGAUGUACAAACUGGAAUGCUUAUAUCUUCUGUAACCACUGAUGAGCCACAGAGACUUACUUUUGCAGGUGCUUCAAAUGGGAUGGAAACACCAUCUUAUCGGGAGCUCAGUCUGGUGAAUUACUGAUUUGGGACCUUCUUGGAGGAAAAGUUAUUGAAAGAAUCAACGGACAUACAGGUGCUGUAACAGCCAUGUGGAUGAAUGAACAGUGCAACAGUGUUAUUACAGGAGGGGAAGACAAACAAAUCAUGUUCUGGAAACUGCAAUACUAAGUGCCUUUCCCUCCAGCCAUUUAAAGGAACUCUAAUUUUAAACCAAACCUUUUAAAGGAACUUAACUGCGUGCAAUGAUGGUUACUGAAGUUCAACCCGAUAGGAAGCUUUGUUCAACUUUCUAUGUUAUGGUGACUUCACUGAGAGCUCUUAACUUCCAUAGCAUAUGCAUUUGUUUUUCAUGGACUAUCAUACUGAAGUUGCUUGUCUAAAAUGAUAUCUGAUAUUAAAUUAAAGACCUAUUUUUCUGUAAUUAAAGAGCUCUUAACUUGCA
RNA transcript from Empidonax traillii (willow flycatcher), 3234 nucleotides. It is a transcript of the gene named neutral sphingomyelinase activation associated factor, with no coding region annotated. The record is from RefSeq and is a predicted model, not a curated record. Lineage: Eukaryota; Metazoa; Chordata; Aves; Passeriformes; Tyrannidae. The transcript is spliced from 31 exons.